GGGGAAGAGUGGCGAACGGGUGAGGAACACGUAAGAAUCUGCCCCUCGGUCGGGGACAACUUUUGGAAACGAAAGCUAAUACCCGAUACGCUGUGGAGUGAAAGAAUUUCGCCGAGGGAUGAUCUUGCGUCUGAUUAGCUAGUUGGUGUGGUAAAGGCAUACCAAGGCGACGAUCAGUAGCUGGUCUGAGAGGAUGAACAGCCACACUGGAACUGAGACACGGUCCAGACUCC
Molecule: ribosomal RNA, 233 nt
Filed under: uncultured bacterium
Lineage: Bacteria
Description: partial 16S ribosomal RNA
Rfam family: Bacterial small subunit ribosomal RNA
Source: RNAcentral